CCUACGGGUGGCAGCAGUAGGGAAUAUUGGUCAAUGGGCGAAACCCUGAAGCAGCAACGCCGCGUGGAGGAUGAAGGCUCUAGGAGUGUAAACUCUCUUUUUGAGAGAAGUUAAUGACGGUAUGUCUCGAAUAAUCACUGGCUAACUCCGUGCCAGCAGCCGUGGUAAUACGGAGGGUGCAAGCGUUACUCGGAGUCACUGGGCGUAAAGAGUGCGCAGGCGGGCUUGUAAGUCAGAUGUGAAAUCCUGUAGUUUAACUAUAGAAUUGCAUUUGAAACUAUGAGCCUAGAGUAUAGGAGAGGUAGGUGGAAUUCUUGGUGUAGCGGUAAAAUCCGUAGAUAUCACGAGGAAUACUCAUUGCGAAGGCGACCUACUAAAACAUUACUGACACUCAUGCACGAAAGUGUGGGUAGCAAACAGGAUUAGAUACCCGGGUAGUC
RNAcentral lists this ribosomal RNA (440 nucleotides) under uncultured bacterium. RNAcentral's name for it is "partial 16S ribosomal RNA". It matches the Rfam family "Bacterial small subunit ribosomal RNA", at positions 338 to 795 of the family's 1533-position model. The record is from RNAcentral.